Long non-coding RNA from Xenia sp. Carnegie-2017, 314 nucleotides. RefSeq lists it as uncharacterized. The record is from RefSeq and is a predicted model, not a curated record. NCBI's taxonomy places the organism in Eukaryota, Metazoa, Cnidaria, Anthozoa, Malacalcyonacea, Xeniidae. The transcript has 2 exons.
GCUGGCCUACAAUCUACCGUGGAUGAAGCAGUAGUUUCUUCGGCAAAGACAGUACGAAGCAAUAUCGAAGCUCAAGUUCUAUCGCUCGAGAAAUCAAGGAAUCAUAAUGCCUCUGCUAUUAAUACGGAGGAAAAUAAUAAGCAAGAAAGAAACUUGCAACGAAUGAUCGAAAUCUUUAAAGAAACAUACCUCAAGAUCCAAUGUUAUGUUAUCAGCCACAGGAAAAGCUGUCUCUCCACCUUUGUAAUUGUCGUUUAGAUAAUACAACACUGUGAUGUACCUUAAAACAUCAAUGAAGUUUUCUUUAAAGUUAA